This 440-nucleotide ribosomal RNA is filed under the name uncultured bacterium. Its description in RNAcentral is "partial 16S ribosomal RNA". It matches the Rfam family "Bacterial small subunit ribosomal RNA", at positions 338 to 795 of the family's 1533-position model. The record is from RNAcentral.
CCUACGGGGUGCAGCAGUAGGGAAUUUUGCGCAUUGGGCGAAAGCCUGACGCAGCAACGCCGCGUGAACGAGACGCCCUUCGGGUUGUAAAGUUCUGUCAGUGCGGACGACAAAUGCCGGUACCCACAGAGGAAGCACCGGCUAACUACGUGCCAGCCGCCGCGGUAAUCCGGAGGGGGCAAGCGUUGUCCGGAAUCAUUGGGCGUAAAGAGGUCGUAGGCGGCAUGUAAAGUCAGGUGUUAAAGGCGCAGGCUCAACCUGUGUAUGGCACUUGAUACUUGCAAGCUGGAAUGCGGUAGAGGUAAAGGGAAGUCCGGGUGUAGCGGGGAAAUGCUGAGAUAUCAGGAGGAACAGCGGUGGCGGAAGCGCUUUACUGGGCCGUAAUUGACGCUGAGGAACGAAAGCCAGGGUAGCAAAUGGGAUUAGAGACCCCUGUAGUC